RNAcentral lists this ribosomal RNA (257 nucleotides) under uncultured bacterium. RNAcentral describes it as "partial 16S ribosomal RNA". It matches the Rfam family "Bacterial small subunit ribosomal RNA", at positions 524 to 775 of the family's 1533-position model. The record is from RNAcentral.
UACGGAGGGUGCAAGCGUUAUCCGGAUUCACUGGGUUUAAAGGGUGCGUAGGCGGGUUGGUAAGUCCGUGGUGAAAUCCCCAAGCUUAACUUGGGAACUGCCGUGGAUACUAUCAAUCUUGAAUAUCGUGGAGGUAAGCGGAAUAUGUCAUGUAGCGGUGAAAUGCUUAGAUAUGACAUAGAACACCAAUUGCGUAGGCAGCUUUACUACACGAAUCAUUUGACGCUGAGGCACGAAAAGCGUGGGGGAGCAAACAG